GAAGCAGCAGGACCCUCAGAAACCAUUUUACUUGCAUUGGAGACUUUGGGACUUGGAUCCUAGUGUUCCUGCUCUUAAGGAAGAAACAAAUACCCACAUGUGCCAUCAGGAUUGCCUCCUCUCUUCACUAGCCACAUGCCGAAUGAUUUUCAGAAAGAGAAUGGCCAUUGGGAAAAGUUUUGGGAAGAGACUAAUAAAAGCAUCUUUGUAAAAUAUG
Molecule: long non-coding RNA, 217 nt
Organism: Ornithorhynchus anatinus (platypus)
Lineage: Eukaryota; Metazoa; Chordata; Mammalia; Monotremata; Ornithorhynchidae
Exons: 2
Source: RefSeq, a predicted model, not a curated record